RNAcentral lists this ribosomal RNA (210 nucleotides) under uncultured bacterium. RNAcentral describes it as "partial 16S ribosomal RNA". It matches the Rfam family "Bacterial small subunit ribosomal RNA", at positions 524 to 731 of the family's 1533-position model. The record is from RNAcentral.
UACGUAGGGUCCGAGCGUUGUCCGGAAUUACUGGGCGUAAAGAGCUCGUAGGUGGUUUUGUCGCGUUGUUCGUGAAAACUCACAGCUUAACUGUGGGCGUGCGGGCGAUACGGGCAGACUUGAGUACUGCAGGGGAGACUGGAAUUCCUGGUGUAGCGGUGGAAUGCGCAGAUAUCAGGAGGAACACCGGUGGUCGAAGGCGGGUCUCUG